ACGGGAGAUGCCAGGGAAGAGAUUUCGGUCGAAUCCGGUGUAUCUUUAGUGGCGGACGGGUGAGUAACGCGUGGGUAACCUGCCAUAUACUGGGGGAUAACACUUAGAAAUAGGUGCUAAUACCGCAUAAGCGCACGGUCCCGCAUGGGACAGUGUGAAAAACUCCGGUGGUAUAUGAUGGACCCGCGUCUGAUUAGCUGGUUGGCGGGGUAACGGCCCACCAAGGCGACGAUCAGUAGCCGGCCUGAGAGGGUGGACGGCCACAUUGGGACUGAGACACGGCCCAAACUCCUACGGGAGGCAGCAGUGGGGGAUAUUGGACAAUGGGGGGAACCCUGAUCCAGCGACGCCGCGUGAGUGAAGAAGUAUCUCGGUAUGUAAAGCUCUAUCAGCAGGGAAGAAAGAAAUGACGGUACCUGAGUAAGAAGCCCCGGCUAACUACGUGCCAGCAGCCGCGGUAAUACGUAGGGGGCAAGCGUUAUCCGGAAUUACUGGGUGUAAAGGGAGCGUAGACGGUGAUGUAAGUCUGGAGUGAAAGGCGGGGGCCCAACCCCCGGACUGCUCUGGAAACUAUAUGACUGGAGUGCAGGAGAGGUAAGCGGAAUUCCUAGUGUAGCGGUGAAAUGCGUAGAUAUUAGGAGGAACACCAGUGGCGAAGGCGGCUUACUGGACUGUAACUGACGUUGAGGCUCGAAAGCGUGGGGAGCAAACAGGAUUAGAUACCCUGGUAGUCCACGCCGUAAACGAUGAUCACUAGGUGUGGGUGGGUAUGGACCCAUCGGUGCC
RNAcentral lists this ribosomal RNA (786 nucleotides) under uncultured bacterium. RNAcentral's name for it is "bacterial SSU rRNA". It matches the Rfam family "Bacterial small subunit ribosomal RNA", at positions 53 to 847 of the family's 1533-position model. The record is from RNAcentral.